CCUCUUCCAUUCCUUAAUUAGUUCGAUUCUGUUUCCACUUCUUAAACCCAUGAGAAUUCUCCAUUCAAAGCAAUUAAUACAAGAGCCCUAAGAUUUCUUUUUCCUAUAACCCGUUGACGUUCCUUCUUCUAGACUCCGGCGAAAUAGUCGCCGCUGAGCUUGCGGUUCGUCCGCCGCCGAGUCACCGCUGAGCCCUGGAGUUCGUCCACCGUGCCGUCGACCCCCACCCCACCGACGACUUCUCUGUUUUGAUAC
This 255-nucleotide long non-coding RNA is filed under the name Salvia miltiorrhiza (redroot sage). RNAcentral describes it as "long non-coding RNA (SMIL_LNC003697)". The record is from RNAcentral. Lineage: Eukaryota; Viridiplantae; Streptophyta; Magnoliopsida; Lamiales; Lamiaceae.